RNAcentral lists this long non-coding RNA (618 nucleotides) under Manacus vitellinus (golden-collared manakin). RNAcentral describes it as "lncRNA (ENSMVIG00005005093.1)". The record is from RNAcentral. Lineage: Eukaryota; Metazoa; Chordata; Aves; Passeriformes; Pipridae.
GGCAGGUUCAGGAAGUAAAUCCUGGCUCUGCUGAGCUCAUCCAGCCCUGGAAGGUUUUCCAUGGCUCCAGUUGCUGUGUUUGUGUCCCUGUGUCCUUGGGAAGCUCCUCAUCCCGAUUUGGCACCUGCAUGGAUUAUCCAUGGGGAUCAGGAUGCACAUUAGGUCAAAGGAAGACAGUUUUUCCAAGGAAGGUGGCGAAACACAGACAUUCCCAUCCCUGGGAACAUCCCAGGGCAGGUUGGACGGGGUUUGGGAGCAACCUGGGAUAGCGGAGGGUGUUGGGGUUGGAACUGGAUGAUCCUUGAGGUCCCUUCCGAGCCGAGCCGUUCCCUGAUUCCGUGACCCCAUCCCGCAUUCCCAGCCCUGCACGCGGCCGUGGCCGGGCAGCAGGCGGAGGCCACGCGGAUCCUGCUCCGUGCCGGGCUCCGGGACACUCCGGAUGGCUCGGGAACGCUGGCCCAGCAGCUCGCCAGGAAGCCAGAGGUCAUCCAGGUGUUCCAGGAAUCCCAGGUCACCACGUGAGGCACGAGGAACGGGAGGAGCCCGGUGGAUUUCCGGCCGGCGCGGGCUGAACUUCCUCCUGGUGCAGCUCCUGGAGCAUCCAAACAGCUGAGGCUG